CUACGUGCCAGCAGCCGCGGUAAUACGGAGGGUGCGAGCGUUAAUCGGAAUAACUGGGCGUAAAGGGCACGCAGGCGGUGACUUAAGUGAGGUGUGAAAGCCCCGGGCUUAACCUGGGAAUUGCAUUUCAUACUGGGUCGCUAGAGUACUUUAGGGAGGGGUAGAAUUCCACGUGUAGCGGUGAAAUGCGUAGAGAUGUGGAGGAAUACCGAAGGCGAAGGCAGCCCCUUGGGAAUGUACUGACGCUCAUGUGCGAAAGCGUGGGGAGCAAACAGGAUUAGAUACCCUGGUAGUCCACGCCGUAAACGAUGAGUGCUAGGUGUUGGGUCCUUUCCGGGACUCAGUGCCGCAGCUAACGCAUUAAGCACUCCGCCUGGGGAGUACGACCGCAAGGUUGAAACUCAAAGGAAUUGACGGGGGCCCGCACAAGCGGUGGAGCAUGUGGUUUAAUUCGACGCAACGCGAAGAACCUUACCAGGUCUUGACAUUGAKGACAGAACUAGAGAUAG
Molecule: ribosomal RNA, 509 nt
Filed under: uncultured bacterium
Lineage: Bacteria
Description: bacterial SSU rRNA
Rfam family: Bacterial small subunit ribosomal RNA
Source: RNAcentral